AUUGAACGCUGGCGGCAGGCCUAACACAUGCAAGUCGAGCGGAUGAAGGGAGCUUGCUCCUGGAUUCAGCGGCGGACGGGUGAGUAAUGCCUAGGAAUCUGCCUGGUAGUGGGGGAUAACGUCCGGAAACGGGCGCUAAUACCGCAUACGUCCUGAGGGAGAAAGUGGGGGAUCUUCGGACCUCACGCUAUCAGAUGAGCCUAGGUCGGAUUAGCUAGUUUGUGGGGUAAAGGCCUACCAAGGCGACGAUCCGUAACUGGUCUGAGAGGAUGAUCAGUCACACUGGAACUGAGACACGGUCCAGGCUCCUACGGGAGGCAGCAGUGGGGAAUAUUGGACAAUGGGCGAAAGCCUGAUCCAGCCAUGCCGCGUGUGUGAAGAAGGUCUUCGGAUUGUAAAGCACUUUAAGUUGGGAGGAAGGGCAGUAAGUUAAUACCUUGCUGUUUUGACGGUACCAACAGAAUAAGCACCGGCUAACUUCGUG
This 484-nucleotide ribosomal RNA is filed under the name uncultured bacterium. Its description in RNAcentral is "partial 16S ribosomal RNA". It matches the Rfam family "Bacterial small subunit ribosomal RNA", at positions 30 to 507 of the family's 1533-position model. The record is from RNAcentral.